GUAUGAUCUCGUGAAACCUUGAGAGAAAGUGAAUGACGAAUGAAACUAUUGUUCCUGUUUCACACAGAAGAAAACUGAGGUUGGCAAUCAUGAUGAGCCCCUGUUCUCAUUCUGCAAAUGGUGAAGCUCUCUAUUGUCCUGACCCCACAGUUCCUGUCCCAUGAGCAGGGCCAGCUCACCAAGGAGCUGCAGCAGCACGUAAAGUCAGUGACAUGCCCAUGCGAGUACCUGAGGAAGGUGAGUGAGUGCAGACAGAUGGGGCCUGGUGCCCUUGAGCAGUUCCCGGGUCUCAGCUGCCACACAUCUCAUAGCGGGUGAUGCUGGGGGAAGCUUACGCAGUCACAGUACUGGCUUCUUCCUCUUUUUCUUUCCAUACAAGUGGCUUAGGGAUGGGGUAGAGUAGUUGACUUAUUUGGAUGAAAACCACUAUCUUCUGUCAGAAACUCAAAAGGA
RNAcentral lists this small RNA (453 nucleotides) under Pan troglodytes (chimpanzee). RNAcentral's name for it is "processed transcript". Lineage: Eukaryota; Metazoa; Chordata; Mammalia; Primates; Hominidae. The record is from RNAcentral.